This 434-nucleotide ribosomal RNA is filed under the name uncultured bacterium. RNAcentral's name for it is "partial 16S ribosomal RNA". It matches the Rfam family "Bacterial small subunit ribosomal RNA", at positions 29 to 506 of the family's 1533-position model. The record is from RNAcentral.
AACGAACGCUGGCGGCAGGCUUAACACAUGCAAGUCGAACGCAUGCCUUCGGGCAUGAGUGGCAGACGGGUGAGUAACGCGUGGGAACCUACCCCUUGGUACGGGAUAGCUCCGGGAAACUGGAGAUAAUACCGUAUAUGUCCUGAGGGCCAAAGAUUCCUCGCCAAGGGAUGGGCCCGCGUCGGAUUAGCUAGUGGGGGGGGUAACGGCCUACCAAGGCGACGAUCCGUAGCUGGUCUAAGAGGAUGAUCAGCCACAUUGGGAUUGAGACACGGCCCAAACUCCUACGGGAGGAGGCAGUGGGGAAAAUUGGACAUUGGGCGCAAGCCUGAGCCAGCCAGGCCGCGUGAGUGAUGAAGGCCCUAGGAUGGUAAAGCUCUUUCACCGGUGACGAUAAGGACGGUAACCGGAGAAGAAGCCCCGCCUAACUUCUU